GUCUCGCAGGUGGUAAAAUUGAUGGGCAAGGACACAGCAGGCUGGCAGGCCCCCGGCCCCCACCUCAGCAGCCAGAUGCCGGUAGCUGGAGGGAGCGUCCUAGCUCAGGAACCAAAUGAAUGCAAACUGGGGAGGGCUGGGACGGGGGCCCUAGGGCCAUUCCUCACCUGGCUUUGUAUUUGCAAGCCCUGUGUUGGGGGUGCAGGGAAGGCAUUUUGAAGUGCAGAAGGUGCUGUACAAAUGCCUGAGAGUACCGAUGUCUGCUGCCCUUGUCACUGUUGAAUGCGGAGAUCAGAAACCUUAAAAC
Molecule: long non-coding RNA, 307 nt
Filed under: Homo sapiens (human)
Lineage: Eukaryota; Metazoa; Chordata; Mammalia; Primates; Hominidae
Description: HSALNT0246103
Source: RNAcentral